Molecule: unclassified non-coding RNA, 247 nt
Filed under: Ambisporaceae sp.
Lineage: Eukaryota; Fungi; Glomeromycota; Glomeromycetes; Archaeosporales; Ambisporaceae
Description: partial contains 5.8S ribosomal RNA and internal transcribed spacer 2
Rfam family: 5.8S ribosomal RNA (bases 1-71)
Source: RNAcentral
GUGAAUCAUCAAAUUUUUGAACGCAUAUUGCACUCUCUGGUAUUCCGGAGAGUAUGCCUAUUUGAGGGACAUUUGAAAUAAUAUAAAUUCCAAGAUUUCUCGGAAUUUAAAAUGGGUUGUCCAUUUUGUGUGGUCGCCUAAAAUCCAAGAAAAGAUAAUUUUUUUGGGUUGGGUGAUAUUUUCAGUAACCUGGUGAUUAAACCAGGAUUAAUGGGGCGUGUUAGGAAUUUGGAAGGAGAUAAAAAAU